AAAUUGACACCGUAACUUCGGGAGAAGGUGUGCCCUUGAGGGUGAGUGACUUCGCGUCAUGAGCCUUUGGGGGUUGCAGAGAAUCGGGGGUAGCGACUGUUUAUCAAAAACACAGGACUCUGCGAAGUCGUAAGACGACGUAUAGGGUCUGACGCCUGCCCGGUGCUGGAAGGUUAACAGGAGAUGUCAGGGCAACCGAAGCAUCGAAUCGAAGCCCCAGUAAACGGCGGCCGUAACGAUAACGGUCCUAAGGUAGCGAAAUUCCUUGGCGGGUAAGUUCCGUCCUGCACGAAUGGCGUAACGACUUCCCCACUGUCUCGACCCGGGACUCAGCGAAAUUGAAAUCGGGGUGAAGAUGCCCCGUACCCGCGGCAAGACGGAAAGACCCCGUGAACCUUUACUGCAGCUUGGCACUGGUUUUCGGAUUUGUCUGUGUAGGAUAGGUGGGAGGCUGUGAAGUGGGGCCGCUAGGUUCCACGGAGCCAACGUUGAAAUACCACCCUGACAAAUCUGAAAGCCUAACCGUGACCCGUAAGCCGGGUCCGGAACACUGCCUGGUGGGUAGUUUGACUGGGGCGGUCACCUCCGAAAAAGUAACGGAGGCGCGCAAAGGUUCCCUCAGGCUGAUUGGAAACCAGCCGUAGAGUGUAAAAGCACAAGGGAGCUUGACUGCAACUCAUACGAGAGGAGCAGGUACGAAAGUAGGCUUUAGUGAUCCGGUGGUUCUGAAUGGAAGGGCCAUCGCUCAACGGAUAAAAGGUACUCCGGGGAUAACAGGCUUAUCACGCCCAAGAGUUCGCAUCGACGGCGUGGUUUGGCACCUCGAUGUCGGCUCAUCGCAUCCUGGGGCUGUAGUAGGUCCCAAGGGUUUGGCUGUUCGCCAAUUAAAGCGGUACGCGAGCUGGGUUCAAAACGUCGUGAGACAGUUUGGUCCCUAUCUGCCGUGGGCGCAGGAGUCUUGAGGUGGAUCUGUCCCUAGUACGAGAGGACCGGGAUGGACGAACCCCUGGUGUUCCGGUUGUUUUGCCAGAGGCAUUGCCGGGUAGCUAUGUUCGGAACGGAUAACCGCUGAAAGCAUCUAAGCGGGAAGCCAACCACAAGAUGAGGACUCCCUGAAGGCCCGUUGUAGACUACGACGUUGAUAGGCUGGGUGUGGAAGUGCGGCAACGCAUGGAGCUAACCAGUACUAAUCGGCCGUUUGGCUUGACC
This 1209-nucleotide ribosomal RNA is filed under the name metagenome. RNAcentral describes it as "bacterial LSU rRNA". It matches the Rfam family "Bacterial large subunit ribosomal RNA", at positions 1719 to 2925 of the family's 2925-position model. The record is from RNAcentral.